This is a long non-coding RNA of Eriocheir sinensis (Chinese mitten crab), 733 nucleotides long. RefSeq lists it as uncharacterized. Lineage: Eukaryota; Metazoa; Arthropoda; Malacostraca; Decapoda; Varunidae. The transcript has 3 exons. The record is from RefSeq and is a predicted model, not a curated record.
CUUAUUAUAUUAAAGGUUACUCCCUGUUCGUUAUAGCCUUCAUCUUAUUAUAUUAAAGGUUACUCCCUUGUUCGUUAUAGCCUUCAUCUUAUUAUAUUAAAGGUUACUCCCUUGUUCGUUAUAGCCUUCAUCUUAUUAUAUUAAAGGUUACUCCCUUGUUCGUUAUAGCCUUCAUCUUAUUAUAUUAAAGGUUACUCCCUUGUUCGUUAUAGCCUUCAUCUUAUUAUAUUAAAGGUUACUCCCUUGUUCGUUAUAGCCUUCAUCUUAUUAUAUUAAAGGUUACUCCCUGUUCGUUAUAGCCUUCAUCUUAUUAUAUUAAAGGUUACUCCCUGUUCGUUAUAGCCUUCAUCUUAUUAUAUUAAAGGUUACUCCCUGUUCGUUAUAGCCUUCAUCUUAUUAUAUUAAAGGUUACUCCCUGUUCGUUAUAGCCUUCAUCUUAUUAUAUUAAAGGUUACUCCCUGUUCGUUAUAGCCUUCAUCUUAUUAUAUUAAAGGUUACUCCCUGUUCGUUAUAGCCUUCAUCUUAUUAUAUUAAAGGUUACUCCCUGUUCGUUAUAGCCUUCAUCUUAUUAUAUUAAAGGUUACUCCCUUGUUCGUUAUAGCCUUCAUCUUAUUAUAUUAAAGGUUACUCCCUUGUUCGUUAUAGCCUUCAUCUUAUUAUAUUAAAGGUUACUCCCUUCUUCGUUAUUCGCUCAUUUUCCGUUUUUUCCACUGCAAGUGUGCAUAUUUAUCUA